Molecule: unclassified non-coding RNA, 227 nt
Filed under: Hevea brasiliensis (rubber tree)
Lineage: Eukaryota; Viridiplantae; Streptophyta; Magnoliopsida; Malpighiales; Euphorbiaceae
Source: RNAcentral
AAACUAGAAAUACUCGAAAUUCGUUAUGGAUGCUCAAGGUUGCCUGGAGAAAUAGGAAAACUAAAAAAUCUAAGGUUGCUGGACUUGAGGGGGGUCGAUGGCCUUGAAUGCAUUCCAUCAGGUGUGUUGUUAGAGCUGUCUAAACUGGAAGAGUUGUAUUUGCCAUCUUACUUUGGGGAAUGGGAACCCAUGGAAGACGGAAAGAAAACCAAUGCAAGCCUCAGCGA